RNAcentral lists this ribosomal RNA (120 nucleotides) under Bison bison bison. The record is from RNAcentral. Lineage: Eukaryota; Metazoa; Chordata; Mammalia; Artiodactyla; Bovidae.
GUCUCAGGCCGGAUCAGCCUGAAGGCGCCCGAUCUCGUCUGAUCUUGGAAGCUAAGCAGGGUCGGGCCUGGUUAGUAUCUUGGAUGGGAGACCACCUGGGAAUCCCGGGUGCUCGAGGCU